AUAAUUGGCUCUAGCUUGAGCUCUGCAGCCAACUCCUAAAGCAUAGAUGGAGCUCUGUGAGGGCUUCAUCGCUCCAGGGCCCCCAGCCCUUUAGGGCAGAAUAUCCAGGGUCUGUCCUCAGAGGGCAGGGUUUCUUUGUGAGUCGCCACCCUCAGCCACUUUCCCGGGCUAUUCUGAGCUCCACCAGCUUCUGCUCUGUUUCUUCCAGCCACCCCUCCUCGUGCAAGGACAUAAAUGGAAUGUUUGGGGCAGGCUAGCUCAGGCCACUAAGAGGACCCAAGAGAAUACAAUGUGAUUUGGUAUUCUUGUUGAAUUCUGCCUUUGAAAAUCAGUUUCAUUUAUCACAAAUUCUCAGUGGUUCUCUCACCCUCAGCAGUAACCUCCCUUUCUGAGAUUUCAAGUUUUCACUAAUGUGCCUAAGUGAUGAAGAACCAAUAUGUGGAAUGUGCAAGCUCUUUGGGGACCACAAGACUCACCCAGUAGCCAAGAUUUCUGAUGCCUAUGCAGAGAGGAAAGUGAACUUUGCUAAGGAUAUUCAGCUGGUGCUGCAGAAAUCUGAGAGCGCGGCACAGGCAGUACAGGACAUGGAGAAGCUCAUCAGGGAACUCUCUACCAGCGCCACUGACACACUGGCCAUGAUCGACGCCAUCGGAGACAGCCUGCUCAGUGGCAUCAAAUGUCGUAUUGCCACCUUGAAAAAGCAACUGCAGAGUGAGCACUGCUCCAAGCUGGAGAAGUUACAGCUGGUUGCCCGGGAACUUGAAGCCCCCCGAGAGCUUUACCAGCAGAUGAAGAUGCUCCUGCAGCAUCAUGCUAACACAGUGCAAUUUCUCCACGAGCAUAAAAGGCUCAAGGGGGAGAUGAAGAGACUCGUGGAGGGCAGCGUGUCCCCCGCAGUCCCCACCAAGGACACUAUUUCCAUCAGGCGCUAUUUUCAAGAGCUCAUUAGAGGAAUAGACAUCACUGCCUUUGCCCCGCCUGAGACUGACCAAGUGCCGGCCAGCAUGGCUGGGCUCCAAGAGGCCUGGCAGGCAGGCUGUGCCAUGCAGGGCCGUCUGUCGCAACAAGUGCUUGAGGAUAUUUUGUGCAAGGCAGUGUCGGGCUCAGGGCCAAAACCAAAUCAAGAGGCAAAGCUUCCUAGGAACCCAUCUUAUGCUUACUCAGUACAAGGAAGUGAGAUUGGUUCUAGAGAAUCAACCGUGUAAGGUAUUAUUUUGGUCUCAAGAUGUCAACAACUUUUAUCAUUUUGUCUGUAACUUGAAAGUUGCUGGACUUUGCUUCUUAAAAAGAAAAUUAAAAAAUUCUACAUUGUGGUUUCUCUUUUGAUUUUGGUCUUGUGUUGAUC
Molecule: long non-coding RNA, 1345 nt
Organism: Bos taurus (domestic cattle)
Lineage: Eukaryota; Metazoa; Chordata; Mammalia; Artiodactyla; Bovidae
Source: Ensembl